UGCGGUAUUUUAACUGUACUAAGGUAGCAUAAUAAUUUGCCUUAUAAAUUGAGGCUAGUAUGAAAGGUUUGACGAAGGUUUAUCUGUCUCUUUUUUAUUUAGUAGAAAUUAAUUUUUUAGUGAAAAAGCUUAAAUAAUUCAAAGGGACGAGAAGACCCUAAUGAGCUUAAAUUUUAUUUUAUUAUUUAUAAAAUUAUAAUAGUUAAGAAAUUUUAAUUGGGGUGAUUAAGGAAUAAAUGUAAUGGAAUAACUUCCUUAAAAUGUAUAAAAUUGUUAAAUUAAGUAACCAAUUUAUAUUGCUUAUAAUAGAGUUACCAUAGGGAUAACAGCGUAAUUUAUUUAGAGAGCUCAUAUCAAAAAAUAAGAUUGCGACCUCGAUGUUGGAUUAAAGUAACCUUAAGGUGCAGU
This 408-nucleotide ribosomal RNA is filed under the name Sepia hierredda. Its description in RNAcentral is "partial 16S ribosomal RNA". It matches the Rfam family "Bacterial large subunit ribosomal RNA", at positions 1932 to 2559 of the family's 2925-position model. Lineage: Eukaryota; Metazoa; Mollusca; Cephalopoda; Sepiida; Sepiidae. The record is from RNAcentral.